Long non-coding RNA from Helianthus annuus (common sunflower), 2161 nucleotides. RefSeq lists it as uncharacterized. NCBI's taxonomy places the organism in Eukaryota, Viridiplantae, Streptophyta, Magnoliopsida, Asterales, Asteraceae. The transcript is spliced from 6 exons. The record is from RefSeq and is a predicted model, not a curated record.
CGCCCGCUUCCUUGCCCUCUCUCUCUCUCUGGCGAUUCAGAUCUGGAUCUAGGUUUUUCUUCAAGGCGAUUCAAGAUAGGGUUUGAACUCUUCGAUAAACAAAUCUCAAUGUAGUGAAUAAAGCUUUGAACUCUUCCCCACCCAACUUCAAAUCUGUAGAUGCUUGAUUUUCCUUCUAGGGUUUCUCAUACUCCACAACCCGUCGUCGCUGUUGAAGACAUAUCUUGUCCCUCUAAAAAGUGGUUGAGGUCCAUCUCAACUUUGGUCUUCUUUGCAGUCUCUCCUUUAUGAGGUAUUUCAUGUGCUACCACUACAUCCUAUCAAGUCACACCUCUUUAAUCCUAUCAAUUUACUUAGUUUUAACUUUGAGAGUUACAUACCCCGUCUUUGAAAACCUGAAACUAUUUCAAAUUGCAAACCCCCAAACAAUGGAACCUAAUACUGUUUCAAAAUUCAAACCCCAAACACCCAUAAGCUGUGCGUAUAGCAGAGAUGCUAGGGUUAGUGUAUUUUGAUAACAUAUCUACAGUAACGACAACGUUAGUGUAUUAUGGCGGAGAUUAUAGGGUUCCGAUGACGUUUCCAUUUUGAUGAAUGUCUCCAUUUUCGUAUAGAUCGAACGUCGUAGUGAUGUUUGGAAUUGUUUUGGUUGUUCUAGCUUCUCCGACAAGCUUCUGGUAACCCAACGUUUCCCCUGUAUUUCUUUUCAGGAUUUCCCAGCUUGGCUCGUGAUAUUCCUGGAAUAGCAUUCUAACUGACAAUGAACCAUUCAAGGUUGAUAACAGUGUGAAGGAAUCCACAAAUGAGGUUAAAAAUUCUGAAAAAAAAACACAUGUCAUUCAGAUUUGUUGCUCAAAAUACCAACAAGACAUGCUCAAUUAGAUGCAUCUAAAGGCGGUACCUCAUCACGUGUUGUUAAAGGUGUAAGAUUUAAAGAGAAGACUCCUCGUGACGGUGAAAGAAGUCCUCUUCUGCAUCCUGAAAGCCCUAUUGUUACAGAGAUUAAGUCUAUAUUCCACGGGAAUCGAUCUUGGUCUCUUCCGGUCAAACAAGGGUCAAACAUGUCCCCUUCGAUCACUACGCCUGUUUCAGCUAGGACAUAUAGUGAACAACAAAAAUCUCAGUGAUUUAUCAUUUAUGUGACUUUAAUACACCAAAGCCAAUAAGCCAAAAGCUCCUCAAGGUAGACUUGCAGAAGCUUACCGUUGUUGUGUUGGUGGUGAACCGCUAAAGUUUUAGAGAUGGCUCAAGCGGACAGAGUUAGAGACGUUGCGGAAAUACAACGUGAGGACCAUCUUCACUGGUUUCGUUCCUACGUGUUGUAGCCACUGCUACUAAUAUUGGAUCCAAAGAUCGUUGGGGAAAAGUACAUUCCAGAUUGGCCUAUUGCUAACAAAGAUACUGUGGUUGCACCAGAUUUGGCCAAGCUUUUUGUGUACAACCUUGGUACACCUGCUGACCAUUUGCAGUUCUAAAGCCUGGGUGACUCCGAUAUCUCGGGUCUGGUCAAGGUUAAUCAGGCCCGAUCCAAUCUCCUUACCUCAGAGCUUCAUCGAAGAUAGGUUGAGGCCGAGGUUGAAAACACGAAAUUAAGAUGUCAACUGCAGCAUAUUGGAAAGCGCAGUGCACCCCUUUGGGAUCCUACUUUGCCAUACACACAUCAAUUUGAAGAGCUAAAGAAGAGCUUGGCCAAGGCAACCGCUGAUGGGCUUGCCCGCCAGGAUGCCGAAGAAAUUUUGGCGAAGACCAAAGCUUCGCUGGAGGACAUGAUCGUGACUGUUUAAGCGCAGCGAAAGGGGUUUCAAACCAAAAUUGAUGACCUUUCUAAGUCAUACGGAAAACAAAGCAAGUUGUAUGCUGAACUGGCAGCUGGUUAUUCUAGCUGAAGAAGUUGCUGCUUCAAAUGUUACCGUCUCCGACUUAAGAAAACAGAUUUGUGAUGCUAUCCAAGCUACAAAUAGACAUAUUUUUAAUGAAACCUUUGUUGACCAGAUUUAUUUAUAUUAAAUAGCUUUAGUUAUUUGGUACCUUUUUAUAAAACAACCCGUUUUGACCUGAACCUAAUUUGGGUAAAGCGUGUUCUGGCCCGGCCCAAAAUGUCGAUGUUUUGAGCUGAUUUGUUUCGAUCGAGACCUGUCCGUUGACCCAACCUAACCCAACG